This 253-nucleotide ribosomal RNA is filed under the name uncultured bacterium. RNAcentral's name for it is "partial 16S ribosomal RNA". It matches the Rfam family "Bacterial small subunit ribosomal RNA", at positions 524 to 776 of the family's 1533-position model. The record is from RNAcentral.
UGCGUAGGGCGCAAGCGUUGUCCGGAAUUAUUGGGCGUAAAGAGCUCGUAGGCGGUUUGUCGCGUCUGCUGUGAAAACCCGAGGCUCAACCUCGAGCUGUCGGUGGAAACUGCUUGGCUAGAGUCCGGAAGAGGAGAGUGGAAUUCCUGGUGUAGCGGUGAAAUGCGCAGAUAUCAGGAAGAACACCUAUGGCGAAGGCAGCUCUCUGGGACGGUACUGACGCUGAGACGCGAAAGCGUGGGGAGCGAACAGG